AACAGCUCCAAAUAGCCUGGUGUCCUAUUUUUCCUCAGGGGAUGGAUACCUUAGCCACCUUCCCUGGCCUGGAAUGCAAAGAAUGCCACUUCAUUUGAGUGAAUAGAGAAUUCUUGGUAAAGGAAAACAAUCCGUCUCUCUCCGUCCCUCUUUCUCUCUCAUAAAUCAUAAAUCACAGACAAGAUGGAGGUCUUUCUGACAAUACCUAGAGAAAAAAAAAAGUCGUCUUUUAGAAUCACCCAAGCACAGGCCUGGCAGUGGAGUGUCUACCUCCAGGGCCCACAGACGACCUCCCACAACCAAGCUGACGGUGAGCCUGACCUUGAGAUCCCGCACAAGAACUCCUUGGCUGUCCAGUGGUUCCCAGGAAGACUUGACUGUCACCAUCAUCUUCAUCCACUAAAGGGCUUAAUGCCACUUGGAAUGGCCUGUCUUGGCCCUUGAGGUGACUUGACAAGAGAUUGUCACAUAAUGAGGUAUAUGGGGUAACUAUUCGAAUUCAAAACCGAUUCAGCUUGAACUAGAAAGCCUGACUUAUGGCCUAUCAAACACACAUUGUACAGCUGCUUAUCCAUUAAAGUAAGAAAUCUCUCUUGGGGCUGGCCCCGUGGCCGAGUG
RNAcentral lists this long non-coding RNA (618 nucleotides) under Equus caballus (horse). Its description in RNAcentral is "lncRNA (ENSECAG00000054756.1)". The record is from RNAcentral. Lineage: Eukaryota; Metazoa; Chordata; Mammalia; Perissodactyla; Equidae.